Betta splendens (Siamese fighting fish) is the source of this 503-nucleotide long non-coding RNA. RefSeq lists it as uncharacterized. The transcript has 4 exons. NCBI's taxonomy places the organism in Eukaryota, Metazoa, Chordata, Actinopteri, Anabantiformes, Osphronemidae. The record is from RefSeq and is a predicted model, not a curated record.
GCAAGUUCGUCUCAAGGUGGAACCCACAGACAAGGGAGGGUGAGAGAAAUUGUGUGCCACAGAUGUCUAUUCAACCUGUUGAUGGUGCUGAGGCUGUGUACCAUGCAUAACCCAACUGAUGCUCCCACACACAAAGAAUAGGAGCAGUUAAGGAUACCAAAAUGUCCUGAAGCUGGCCUAGUCCCUCUUUAGAAAUUACAAACCUGCAGAGGCUUCAGUACAAGAGUGUACACAAGCAGUUGCACUGUGUUCAGUCAUCCCUCAGAUUGCAUUGCUAUCAGAAAGGCAAUGUUGAGCAGCCUUGAGACAGAGACCUUUGUCCCAUUGGUUCUCUCACAGGCAAGUGAAGAGUGCUCGAGUAGGGAAGUGGGCUGAUAUAAUUUUUGGCUCUGAGGAUCUGCUAACAGGGUCUGCCCCCUUUGCCACGUUUCCAGUGUCAUCAACCAACUGUUUUCUUCCUUGACCAGCUACACCACUGGGUAUUACAGUCCACCACUCCACUG